This 497-nucleotide ribosomal RNA is filed under the name uncultured bacterium. RNAcentral describes it as "partial 16S ribosomal RNA". It matches the Rfam family "Bacterial small subunit ribosomal RNA", at positions 29 to 507 of the family's 1533-position model. The record is from RNAcentral.
AGUGAACGCUGGCGGCAUGCCUAAUACAUGCAAGUCGAACGACAGGAUGGUAAGCUUUCUCCUCUACCGUUAGCGACGGACGGGUGAGUAACACGUAGAUAGCAUUCCUCUUAUUCUGGGGUAACUUCGGGAGAAAAGUGAUAAUACCGCCUAAUAUAUUCUACCGCAUGAUUCAAUGGUUAAAGACGCUUUUGCUGUCUGAUUUAGCUGGUUCCGCGCCGCAUUAGCUAGUUGGUAAGGUAACGGCUUACCAAGGCAACGAUGCGUAGCCGACCUGAGAGGGUGAUCGGCCACACUGGAACUGAGACACGGUCCAGACUCCUACGGGAGGCAGCAGUGGGGAAUAUUCCACAAUGGGCGAAAGCCUGACGGAGCAACACCGCGUGAGUGAUGAAGGUCUUCGGAUUGUAAAGCUCUUUUAUUAGGGAAGAACAAAAGUGGAAGAAUCUAUGCACGUUUUGACGGUACCUAAACAGUAAGCCACGGCUAACUACGUG